Molecule: ribosomal RNA, 253 nt
Filed under: uncultured bacterium
Lineage: Bacteria
Description: partial 16S ribosomal RNA
Rfam family: Bacterial small subunit ribosomal RNA
Source: RNAcentral
UACGGGGGGGGCAAGCGUUGUUCGGAAUUACUGGGCGUAAAGGGCGCGUAGGCGGCCUGCUAAGUCGGAUGUGAAAUCCCUCGGCUCAACCGAGGAACUGCAUCCGAUACUGGCGGGCUUGAAUCCGGGAGAGGGUGGUGGAAUUCCCGGUGUAGUGGUGAAAUGCGUAGAGAUCGGGAGGAACACCCGUGGCGAAGGCGGCCACCUGGGCCGACCCUGACGCUGAGGCGCGAAGGCGUGGGGAGCGAACGGG